UUGUCAUCGGGCCGGUGGAUGAGCUGUCCGUUUUCUCUCUUCGAUGAAUGACGAUCGGCGGGAUCCGAGGCUGGUAUUACACGCAAUGAGCAACACCAAGUAAGUGUGCGAAAAAUCUUAGCUGAGUUGUGAAGUCUUUAUCACUGUGUGUGAUAAAGCGUGUAGUCACUGUGUGCAACUAUUCAAGUCUUUGCCACUGUGUGCGGCAAAGCACGCAUCCUCUGUGUGAGGUUGCGUUGAAAGUCUUUGCCACUGUGUGCGGCGAAGCACGCAUUCACUAUGUGAGACUGAGUUGAAAGUCUUCAUCACUGUGUGCGUUAAAGCGCGUGAUAUGUAAGUCCUUGCCACUGAGUGCGGCAAAGCGCGCAGCCACUGUGUGAGACUGCGUUGAGAAAAUAGGCCUAAUUUUUGUUGUUUGUGAGCGAGGAUAUUUGUUGUGUUGUGCUAAUGACUGCGGAGCAGGCGUGGUCUGGGACACGGUUGUUGUUGUUAUCAUGGGUUCCUAAGCAACCAAGAGUGUGUCCGAGCGUGACAGACAUUUAUGCUGGACUUCGCUCCUGGGAGCGCACAGUAUUU
Long non-coding RNA from Oreochromis niloticus (Nile tilapia), 576 nucleotides. RefSeq lists it as uncharacterized. NCBI's taxonomy places the organism in Eukaryota, Metazoa, Chordata, Actinopteri, Cichliformes, Cichlidae. The transcript is spliced from 2 exons. The record is from RefSeq and is a predicted model, not a curated record.